Molecule: long non-coding RNA, 881 nt
Organism: Oncorhynchus keta (chum salmon)
Lineage: Eukaryota; Metazoa; Chordata; Actinopteri; Salmoniformes; Salmonidae
Exons: 4
Source: RefSeq, a predicted model, not a curated record
CUAUCUGCAGAGUUAGCUCCAGGUUAAUGUCACCCAGUAGUGCUAUCUGCAGAGUUAGCUCCAGGUUAAUGUCACCCAGUAGUGCUAUCUGCAGGGUUAGCUCCAGGUUAAUGUCACCCAGUAGUGCUAUCUGCAGAGUUAGGUUAAUGUCACCCAGUAGUGCUAUCUGCAGGGUUAGCUCCAGGUUAAUGUCACCCAGUAGUGCUAUCUGCAGGGUUAGCUCCAGGUUAAUGUCACCCAGUAGUGCUAUCUGCAGGGUUAGCUCCAGGUUAAUGUCACCCAGUAGUGCUAUCUGCAGGGUUAGCUCCAGGUUAAUGUCACCCAGUAGUGCUAUCUGCAGGGUUAGCUCCAGGUUAAUGUCACCCAGUAGUGCUAUCUGCAGGGUUAGCUCCAGGUUAAUGUCACCCAGUAGUGCUAUCUGCAGAGUUAGCUCCAGGUUAAUGUCACCCAGUAGUGCUAUCUGCAGAGUUAGCUCCAGGUUAAUGUCACCCAGUAGUGCUAUCUGCAGAGUUAGCUCCAGGUUAAUGUCACCCAGUAGUGCUAUCUGCAGGGUUAGCUCCAGGUUAAUGUCACCCAGUAGUGCUAUCUGCAGAGUUAGCUCCAGGUUAAUAUCACCCAGUAGUGCUAUCUGCAGAGUUAGCUCCAGGUUAAUGUCACCCAGUAGUGCUAUCUGCAGGGUUAGCUCCAGGUUAAUAUCACCCAGUAGUGCUAUCUGCAGGGUUAGCUCCAGGUUAAUGUCACCCAGUAGUGCUAUCUGCAGGGUUAGCUCCAGGUUAAUGUCACCCAGUAGUGCUAUCUGCAGGGUUAGCUCCAGGUUAAUGUCACCCAGUAGUGCUAUCUGCAGGGUUAGCUCCAGGUUAAUGUCACCCAGUAGUGCUAUC